Molecule: long non-coding RNA, 1186 nt
Filed under: Citrus x clementina
Lineage: Eukaryota; Viridiplantae; Streptophyta; Magnoliopsida; Sapindales; Rutaceae
Description: Citrus clementina (C. clementina) long non-coding RNA (CCLE_LNC000821)
Source: RNAcentral
AAUGACAAAAAAAUAUUGUAUUGCCAUCUAUAUUUUUUAAUCAUUUAAUUUAUCCCCUACUUGAUAAUUUUCCUACACACACACAGACAUUAUUUUUGAAUUUAAAUUUUCAGAAUUAACAUGAUGAAAACUUUGUUGCUUUUUCCAUAAUUUUUCAUUUACGUUUUCAAUUAAUAAUGAUUAUAAAACAUUAUUCACUUAAUGAAUAAUUAAUAGUACUCGAAAUCCCAAUAUUAAAUAACCACCAAGUGUAAAAUGAUAUGAUUAGCAAAAAAAUUAAUUCUGAAGAGGAAUUGAAUGUAUUUUAAAAUAUUAAAGUGGUUUUGAUUAGUUUGUUAAAUAGCAAAAGGAUUUUUACUCUUUUUCCUGCUUUUUAGGCUGCUUUAUUUAUUUAUUUUUUCAAAAGAUAAAGGUAAAUUAAAUCUUGUGCUCACUUAUGUGAUCGAGAUUGUGACUCGGUCUUGCCAAUAUCAAAUCGUAAAAUCUUGUUAUCUUUUUUUAAUUUUUCUCCUCAUAUAAUGGUGUCUAGAUUGAAUGGUAUGGUAUCACACGACACUGUGGUUGAAUCAUGUGAAUGAUCAUUAAAUAUUUUAUAUUACCUUAAUAAAUUUGGUUAUCUUUUAAUUAUUAUAUAUAUAUACACAGUAAAACCUCUUUAUAGUUACAAUAUUGAGACCGAAUUAAUUUUAAACGGGAAAAUAAGGCUUGUCCUCUGUUGUUUGAAAAUUUUGAGUAAAACCCACCUCAUAUUUUAGAAUAGAUCCUUUUGUAGUUAUAAUAGUAUUAACUUUAUAUAUCAUUUACUACUCUACUCCUAUUCUUGAUGUAAGGUGGGUUUAAUUUUUGUUCAUCCAACAAACGUUAUAAAUUAUUUGAAAGUUGACAAUCAUGUUGAGUAUAAUAAGUCAAAAUAGGUUAAGAUAAGAGAUAAAAGGCAUCCAUAAUUACCUGAACAUUAAUCAAGUUUUAAUGUUAAAUUACUUCUUCUUUAUCAAGUUAGUUCAAGCUAUGGGACCCUAAUUGAGCUAGCCUGGGAAAAAUGAACCCUAAUUUAUGACUAUUUUAUUUACAAAAUCAUAAGAAAAAAAGUGGGUAUCCGUAUCAUCCUCCCUCCAUCUCAAAAACCAACCUUAUGACCCAUUUCAUUGAAUUCGGUUGGAAUUAAAUUAUCUUAAUUAUAACAAAU